Long non-coding RNA from Micropterus dolomieu (smallmouth bass), 1952 nucleotides. RefSeq lists it as uncharacterized. The transcript is spliced from 2 exons. Lineage: Eukaryota; Metazoa; Chordata; Actinopteri; Centrarchiformes; Centrarchidae. The record is from RefSeq and is a predicted model, not a curated record.
UUGAUUAGAUAAUUGCAUUAAUGAGAAAUUGAACAGGUGUUCCUAAUAAUCCUUUAGGUGAGUGUAUAUAUGUGCUUUCAUUCCACGUAAACCUACUUGCUGAUGCUCAUUGUGUGCAAAAUAUGGUGCACGUGUCUUCUCCAAUUAUGAAACCUAAUAACCACAAACUAUUUUAAUGCAGGCUAAUGAAAAAUAUGCAAAUCACAUAGAAAAAACACAUUGGUUUCUGAUGAGCAUGACCGUUGAAUGAACAGAUAAGGCACCAGGAAUAACCAAGCCUGGCUGUUAGCCUGGUCUGGAGCAGGCUAGCUGCACAGAAUAAAUCACCAUGUUAACUUAUGUGCUACUGCUUUCGCGAAACCGAGUCAAGCCUUAAUUCAGCCAAGAUAUCUGGAAAAACCCGGCUUAAUCCGCUAUCUUGGUUUUGUGAAACAGUCCUCUGUCUGCUCCCCCUGUGAUCACUCUGCCUGCCUGUAUGUCUGUAUCUGAUUGCCUCCACCUGGUCUUGAUCCCGCCCUGCUCGUUACCUAGUGUUUAAAUGUUUGCUUGUUCUCUCUUUGUUAUGUCCUUGUCGAAUGUUGAGUUUUCAGCUGUGCCCUGUUCUCCAUGUUUUUGGAUUUCCCCAGUGGAUUGUGUUUCUGUUUGGAGAUACCUUUGUUGGGACAUUUGCUGCAGUGUUCCCAGUGCUGCAAUUCACGAGGAUGACCUGCACAAGACGGCAUUUUAAACAACCUUUGGGCUGUACGAGUACUCUCAGUUGCCUUUCAGGGUAUGUAACGGGCCAGCCACUUUUCAGAGACUGAUGCAUGUGAGGAAGAGUGACUUGGUGUUGCAAAUCAUGCCGCUGUACUUGGAUGACAUUUUGGUGCACUCACAGUCUUUUGAAGAUCAUCUAGCAAGUCUUCAGAUGUUUCUCCAGAGACUGAAGGAGACAGGUUUUAAAGUCAAAGAGAAGACGUGUCACUUUUACCGGCCUAAAGUAGGUUUCCUUGGUCACCGGAUAUCUGACGAGGGCAUUGGUGGCUCGGUUGCAGUCCUAUAUCAACAGCAGGGCAAGAACAAAAGAGUGAUUUGCCAGUAGGAGGGUGCACAAUACGGAGAAAAAUGACAGCAACUACAACUUGAACUACUGAUUCUGAAGUGUGCAGUUUCAGAUAAAAUCAGGGAUUACCUACUAGACAGAACAGGAACAGAUAUGGGCCCAGAGCUAGGAACUGUGGGUUCCACUGACGGGAGUGACUGGCAGGUUAAUACCUCCACUCAGCCUGGCUACUCUAAAAUAGAGCUGCUCAUAGAUCCCACCCAAGUACAUUUAGACAGUUCUGGGAUAGGAAAACCCACCUGUAGGGAGAGAACAGGGUUAGCCAAGUCUGCAGUGUACUUAUGUAGGCAGUGGUAUCUUAAUUAGCUUAGUAAAAAUGUUUCUUUUGUCUGUUAAAUUAGGUCUGUAGACUUAAUUAACAGACAACCACAUAAAGAACAGCUGCAAAGUAAUGUUUGCUACAAAGUGAAUGUAAAAAGCUUGCAUGCAAGUUGUUUGCAAAGUAACAUCUCACCUAAAUCAAUGCUACAGUGAGUAGGCCUACUUAAGAAACGAAAUACCAUAGUAACUCCAGUCAACCCAGUUUUCAGAUGACAGAGGUGACAGCUUCUUCUGCGCCAUGUGACCUGCCAAAGAACAGCCUCUCGCAUGCCACUGUUGAGGCAGGUGUUGCCAAGUACCUUGUUCAUUAUCUGCCAGCUUACCAUGGGCACCUUUGUGGACAGACUACCACUGUACGGGAUAUGUCGCUAUGCUGACACUGGGCUUUGCCCCGUACCUGUCUAGAGUUUUGUCUGUGGACAGUGUCUCAUCAUCAAAGCCCUCUGACUUUGACCUAUUAGUAAGACAGCCAUCUUCUUCUUUUGUGCUUCUGGUUCCAUUUCUUUUUGAUGCAGACAGACAGACAACC